Molecule: ribosomal RNA, 1567 nt
Filed under: Niabella sp.
Lineage: Bacteria; Pseudomonadati; Bacteroidota; Chitinophagia; Chitinophagales; Chitinophagaceae
Description: partial 23S ribosomal RNA
Rfam family: Bacterial large subunit ribosomal RNA
Source: RNAcentral
CCCGCACACCGAAAAACUAAGGUUUCCACAGCUAUGCUAAUCAGCUGUGGGUUAGUCUGGACCUAAGGCGAACCCGAAGGGGGCAGUCGAUGGCCAACGGGUUAAUAUUCCCGUACUUCUUAUUGCUGUGAUGGGGUGACGGAGUGAUGAAAGCGCCGCGAACUGACGGAAUAGUUCGUUAAAGCACCUAGCUAUAGGGUCUCUAGGCAAAUCCGGAGAUCUUGGUGAAAUGCGAUAGUACUCGGAGUCUUCGGACAAAGAGAUAGUGCGCCUAAGGGCUUCCAAGAAAAACCUCUAAACUUCAGGCAGUAAGAACCAGUACCGUAAACCGACACAGGUAGUUGAGGAGAGAAUCCUAAGGUGCUCGAGAGAUUCAUGGCUAAGGAAUUAGGCAAAAUAGACCUGUAACUUCGGGAGAAAGGUCGCCCCGAGCAAUCGGGGCCGCAGUGAAGAGGUCCAGGCGACUGUUUAUCAAAAACACAGGGCUCUGCAAAAUCGCAAGAUGAGGUAUAGGGCCUGACACCUGCCCGGUGCUGGAAGGUUAAGAGGGGAUGUCAUCGUAAGAGAAGCAUUGAAUCGAAGCCCCAGUAAACGGCGGCCGUAACUAUAACGGUCCUAAGGUAGCGAAAUUCCUUGUCGGGUAAGUUCCGACCUGCACGAAUGGUGUAACGAUCUGGGCGCUGUCUCAGCCAUGAGCUCGGUGAAAUUGUGGUAUCGGUGAAGACGCCGAUUACCCGCAACGGGACGGAAAGACCCCAUGCACCUUCACUAUAGCUUUGCACUGACUUUUGGUAACUGGUGUGUAGGAUAGGUGGGAGGCUAUGAAGCGGUGUCGCCAGGCAUCGUGGAGCCAACGUUGAAAUACCACCCUUUCUGUAUUCGGUGUCUAAUCCCGAUCAUCGGGAGACAUUGUUUGAUGGGUAGUUUGACUGGGGUGGUCGCCUCCAAAAAGGUAACGGAGGCUUUCAAAGGUAAGCUCAGUACGCUUGGUAACCGUACGGGGAGUGCAAUAGCAUAAGCUUGCUUGACUGUGAGACAUACAGGUCGAUCAGGGUCGAAAGACGGAUAUAGUGAUCCGGUGGUUCUGCAUGGAAGGGCCAUCGCUCAAAGGAUAAAAGGUACGCUGGGGAUAACAGGCUGAUCUCCCCCAAGAGCUCACAUCGACGGGGAGGUUUGGCACCUCGAUGUCGGCUCGUCACAUCCUGGGGCUGGAGAAGGUCCCAAGGGUUCGGCUGUUCGCCGAUUAAAGUGGCACGCGAGCUGGGUUCAGAACGUCGCGAGACAGUUCGGUCCCUAUCUGUUGUGGGCGUAGGAAUUUUGAGUGGGGCUGACCUUAGUACGAGAGGACCGGGUUGGACCAGCCUCUAGUGAAUCUGUUGUUCCGCCAGGGGCAUUGCAGAGUAGCUACGCUGGGAAUAGAUAAGCGCUGAAAGCAUCUAAGUGCGAAACUAGCCACGAGAUGAGAAUUCCAUAUAGGACCGUAGCAGACUACUACGUUGAUAGGCUACAGAUGUAAAGCUGGUGACAGCACAGUCGAGUAGUACUAAUCAUCCGAAGCUUUCAAAAG